This 439-nucleotide ribosomal RNA is filed under the name Escherichia coli. RNAcentral's name for it is "bacterial SSU rRNA". It matches the Rfam family "Bacterial small subunit ribosomal RNA", at positions 532 to 970 of the family's 1533-position model. The record is from RNAcentral. Lineage: Bacteria; Pseudomonadati; Pseudomonadota; Gammaproteobacteria; Enterobacterales; Enterobacteriaceae.
GUGCAAGCGUUAAUCGGAAUUACUGGGCGUAAAGCGCACGCAGGCGGUUUGUUAAGUCAGAUGUGAAAUCCCCGGGCUCAACCUGGGAACUGCAUCUGAUACUGGCAAGCUUGAGUCUCGUAGAGGGGGGUAGAAUUCCAGGUGUAGCGGUGAAAUGCGUAGAGAUCUGGAGGAAUACCGGUGGCGAAGGCGGCCCCCUGGACGAAGACUGACGCUCAGGUGCGAAAGCGUGGGGAGCAAACAGGAUUAGAUACCCUGGUAGUCCACGCCGUAAACGAUGUCGACUUGGAGGUUGUGCCCUUGAGGCGUGGCUUCCGGAGCUAACGCGUUAAGUCGACCGCCUGGGGAGUACGGCCGCAAGGUUAAAACUCAAAUGAAUUGACGGGGGCCCGCACAAGCGGUGGAGCAUGUGGUUUAAUUCGAUGCAACGCGAAGAACC